RNAcentral lists this ribosomal RNA (489 nucleotides) under Staphylococcus aureus. Its description in RNAcentral is "bacterial SSU rRNA". It matches the Rfam family "Bacterial small subunit ribosomal RNA", at positions 1 to 471 of the family's 1533-position model. Lineage: Bacteria; Bacillati; Bacillota; Bacilli; Caryophanales; Staphylococcaceae. The record is from RNAcentral.
UUUUAUGGAGAGUUUGAUCCUGGCUCAGGAUGAACGCUGGCGGCGUGCCUAAUACAUGCAAGUCGAGCGAACGGACGAGAAGCUUGCUUCUCUGAUGUUAGCGGCGGACGGGUGAGUAACACGUGGAUAACCUACCUAUAAGACUGGGAUAACUUCGGGAAACCGGAGCUAAUACCGGAUAAUAUUUUGAACCGCAUGGUUCAAAAGUGAAAGACGGUCUUGCUGUCACUUAUAGAUGGAUCCGCGCUGCAUUAGCUAGUUGGUAAGGUAACGGCUUACCAAGGCAACGAUGCAUAGCCGACCUGAGAGGGUGAUCGGCCACACUGGAACUGAGACACGGUCCAGACUCCUACGGGAGGCAGCAGUAGGGAAUCUUCCGCAAUGGGCGAAAGCCUGACGGAGCAACGCCGCGUGAGUGAUGAAGGUCUUCGGAUCGUAAAACUCUGUUAUUAGGGAAGAACAUAUGUGUAAGUAACUGUGCACAUCUUG